UCAUUACUCCCUCCGAUCGAUAUUACUUGUUGCUGAAAUUGAUGUAUCUAGACGUAUUUCAGUGCUAGAUACAUCCGUUUGAGCGACAAGUAAUAUGGAUCGGAGGGAGUACUAU
Molecule: non-coding RNA, 115 nt
Organism: Triticum aestivum (bread wheat)
Lineage: Eukaryota; Viridiplantae; Streptophyta; Magnoliopsida; Poales; Poaceae
Source: Rfam